ACACACACACACACACACACACACACACACAGAAGGAGUGUGUCUUCAUCCCCUGCUCAGGACGCCAUUACGCCACUAUUUUUUUAGAAAAGCA
Long non-coding RNA from Etheostoma spectabile (orangethroat darter), 94 nucleotides. RefSeq lists it as uncharacterized. The record is from RefSeq and is a predicted model, not a curated record. Lineage: Eukaryota; Metazoa; Chordata; Actinopteri; Perciformes; Percidae. The transcript has 3 exons.